UGUUCUGUGGCUUAGAAGGUUAAAGCGCCGGUCUAGCGAAUACGGAGUCGUGGGUUUGAAUCCCACCAGAACGC
This is a non-coding RNA of Aedes albopictus (Asian tiger mosquito), 74 nucleotides long. NCBI's taxonomy places the organism in Eukaryota, Metazoa, Arthropoda, Insecta, Diptera, Culicidae. The record is from Rfam.